Molecule: long non-coding RNA, 1301 nt
Organism: Gasterosteus aculeatus aculeatus (three-spined stickleback)
Lineage: Eukaryota; Metazoa; Chordata; Actinopteri; Perciformes; Gasterosteidae
Source: Ensembl
CCUGGUUGCCUCUGUGUCGCCAUUAAAGUUUCAGGUCGCGUGGGCCUGUUUUACACGGCUGCUGAUCCCCCGAUUGAUGCCGAGCUGGAAAGCAGCCACGGGCUACAGCAUGUCAGACAUCAGGCCGCCGGUCUCCAGGUGCCGCGGCGCAACGAACAAGUGUUGAAUUAGACCCACUGGGAUUUGAAGCUACAUACGCAAACACCGGCCUGCUGCCUUUAAAACGGCUCUGCACCGGGACUCAAAGGCACGGACCGGCCAGCGCCGCCUCGUCACUAGAAGACAAAGAGACGGAUUCCACUGCAGGUUUGAGCAUUCCGUCCAACCAGGGACGGCAGUCGCACAGUAGAAGUGAUCCCGAUGAACCGAAUCAGAAGCCCGGCUCCCCCGUUGAAUGGAUGCGGCGUCUUGGUCGGCUGCCUCCGCUCAGGGAUCAGCCCCGGCGCGUCCAUCUGGAGCAGAGUCCACUGGCACAGAGGGCGAGUUCAUCCACGGUGCCGCUGGAGAACAAAGACGGAGCUGUUAAGACGUUCUUCACGAAUGCUGGUUUUGUGUUUUGCUUUAACCGCAAAAAAAACAUGUAACGUCCAGAAAAGAUAAUCAAACAGGAAGGAACACAAAGAGGUAAUGGACUUGUGGUUAGAAUCCGGUUUUAUCCUAAUCUACAGCUAAAGAAUCAUCGUUUCCUAAAUGAACACUGUGCUCUACUGAAGAAGACCAGCUCAUGUUCACCAUCUUCACUGAGGUAACAGACCAGGUCUCAGAGACUCCUCGACCUCUCGUUUCUGCACCCUGAGGAGUUUUACUUCUCGGAGUGGAGAUUCAUCAAAUGAAAUAGUUCUAUAUUCAGAACAAAGCAAGGAAGAGGGAAUUAUCAUCAAAGUAACAAUCGCAAAACCAAACACUGGCAAGUGGUAACAAUGUGGUUCGUUAUUGUGCUGUUAUGCAAAGUGUCACGGUGGGGUUUUAUUUCCUGUUUUAUUUUGUAGUUUUCUGCUUCUUGUCUCCCUGGGUAACUUGACUUCCUGCCUGGUCCUGUCGUCCCCUGUGAUUGUCUGAUUGUUUCCACCUGUGUCCAAUCACCUGCACCUCCCCAGUGUGUUUAAGCCGUGUGUGUCUCUUGUCACUUGUGGCGUCAUUGUCGAAUGUCCUGGAGUUCCUGGAGUUCCUGCCUGCCUUUUUGCCCCCUGUUCCUGUGUGUGUUUUUGCCCCUCUGCCUUUUUUCUGCAUUUUUGACUAUUAAAGUAUUUUUGCUUUUGACGUCUGCAUUUGAGUCCUGCCUUCCCACGCAUCCGUGACAC